CAGGUUGUUCUUGGGUGACUGGCAAAUUCACUUUGAAAAAAAUUGAGUACUCAAUGCAGGCAUGACGCCUGAAUAAUGGUACAUGGAAUAAUGGAAUAGGACCUCCGUUCUAUUUUGUUAGUUUUUGGAAUACGAGGUAACGAUUAAGAGGGACACCGCUACUGAAAGCACGAGAUACAAUUCUGUGUGUAUGAAAUAAAAGAGGAAGUCAUUUGGACAGCGGCUCCUAGCACGUUUUUAAGGUGUGCACUAAGAAAUGGUGGAUUCGAGUUGCUUGCAGCUCGAACGCUCUAUGAACAUAAAAAAGCUACCGUAUCUUUCAAGUGUCUGCCUUAUCAACUGUCAAUGGUAGGUAACGCGCCUACCAUGGUUGUAAUGGGUGGCGGGGAAUCAGGGUUUGGUUCCGGAGAGGAAGCCUGAAAAAUGGCUACCACAUCCAAGGAAAGCAGCAGGAGCUCAAAUUACCCACUCCCAGAAUGGGGAGGUAGUGACGAAAAAUAACAGUAUGGAACUAUUUUGAGACCCCGUAAUUGGAAUGAGUACACUCUAAAUCCUUUAACGAGGAUCAAUUAGAGGGCAAGUCUGGUGCCAACAGCUGCGGUAAUUCCAGCUCCAAUAGCGUAUAUUAAAGUUAUUGCUGUUAAAAAGCUCAUAGUUGGAUCUGAUGGGUGAUCCACCUACCGGUGGUUACUGCCUGUUCUGAACAGCCAGCCAAUUUCGUUUGAUGAUCUUCACUGGUUGUCUUGAAUGACUGGCAAGUUUACUUUGAAAAAAUUAGAGUGCUCAAAGCAGGCAUGACGCCUAAAUAAUGGUGUAUGGAAUAAUGGAAUAGGACCUCGGUUCUAUUUUGUUGGUUUUCAAAAUAGGAGGUAAUGAUUGAGAGGGACAGACGGGGUGCAUUCUUACUGCAAUGCUAGGGGUGAAAUUCUUGGAGCAUCGCAAGACGAACUACUGUGAAAGCAUGUGCCAAGAAUGUUUCCAUUAAUCAAGAACAAAAGUUAGAGGUUUGAAGGUGAUCACACAAACUUUUCUCCAUAUUUCAAUUCUACAACUCAA
RNAcentral lists this non-coding RNA (1056 nucleotides) under Stegodyphus mimosarum. RNAcentral's name for it is "Eukaryotic small subunit ribosomal RNA". It matches the Rfam family "Eukaryotic small subunit ribosomal RNA", at positions 107 to 1041 of the family's 1831-position model. The record is from Rfam by way of RNAcentral. Lineage: Eukaryota; Metazoa; Arthropoda; Arachnida; Araneae; Eresidae.